AAAUUGAAGAGUUUGAUCAUGGCUCAGAUUGAACGCUGGCGGCAGGCCUAACACAUGCAAGUCGAACGGUAACAGGAAGCAGCUUGCUGCUUUGCUGACGAGUGGCGGACGGGUGAGUAAUGUCUGGGAAACUGCCUGAUGGAGGGGGAUAACUACUGGAAACGGUGGCUAAUACCGCAUAACGUCGCAAGACCAAAGAGCUAGCUGGUCUGAGAGGAUGACCAGCCACACUGGAACUGAGACACGGUCCAGACUCCUACGGGAGGCAGCAGUGGGGAAUAUUGCACAAUGGGCGCAAGCCUGAUGCAGCCAUGCCGCGUGUAUGAAGAAGGCCUUCGGGUUGUAAAGUACUUUCAGCGGGGAGGAAGGUGUUGUGGUUAAUAACCGCAGCAAUUGACGUUACCCGCAGAAGAAGCACCGGCUAACUCCGUGCCAGCAGCCGCGGUAAUACGGAGGGUGCAAGCGUUAAUCGGAAUUACUGGGCGUAAAGCGCACGCAGGCGGUCUGUCAAGUCGGAUGUGAAAUCCCCGGGCUCAACCGGUAGUCCACGCCGUAAACGAUGUCUACUUGGAGGUUGUGCCCUUGAGGCGUGGCUUCCGGAGCUAACGCGUUAAGUAGACCGCCUGGGGAGUACGGCCGCAAGGUUAAAACUCAAAUGAAUUGACGGGGGCCCGCACAAGCGGUGGAGCAUGUGGUUUAAUUCGAUGCAACGCGAAGAACCUUACCUGGUCUUGACAUCCACGGAAGAAUUCAGAGAUGGAUUUGUGCCUUCGGGAACCGUGAGACAGGUGCUGCAUGGCUGUCGUCAGCUCGUGUUGUGAAAUGUUGGGUUAAGUCCCGCAACGAGCGCAACCCUUAUCCUUUGUUGCCAGCGAUUAGGUCUACAAUGGCGCAUACAAAGAGAAGCGACCUCGCGAGAGCAAGCGGACCUCAUAAAGUCUGCAACUCGACUCCAUGAAGUCGGAAUCGCUAGUAAUCGUGGAUCAGAAUGCCACGGUGAAUACGUUCCCGGGCCUUGUACACACCGCCCGUCACACCAUGGGAGUGGGUUGCAAAAGAAGUAGGUAGCUUAACCUUCGGGAGGGCGCUUACCACUUUGUGAUUCAUGACUGGGGUGAAGUCGUAACAAGGUAACCGUAGGGGAACCUGCGGUUGGAUCACCUCCUUACCUUAAAGAAGC
Molecule: ribosomal RNA, 1180 nt
Filed under: Salmonella enterica subsp. enterica serovar Adjame
Lineage: Bacteria; Pseudomonadati; Pseudomonadota; Gammaproteobacteria; Enterobacterales; Enterobacteriaceae
Description: 16S ribosomal RNA
Rfam family: Bacterial small subunit ribosomal RNA
Source: RNAcentral